Molecule: long non-coding RNA, 424 nt
Filed under: Pan troglodytes (chimpanzee)
Lineage: Eukaryota; Metazoa; Chordata; Mammalia; Primates; Hominidae
Description: lincRNA
Source: RNAcentral
UCGGCCGCUUCCGGUCCUGCGCUGCGGGCCUCAGAGGACUUGGUGCUCGGCAAACCCAGAGACUCAAACACCAUGUCCGGGGGGUGGGGGAAGCGGCGCGGGGGAGAUCCUCACGCUGUGUUCGGCAGUGAGGCGGCGAGAGCGCGCCGGUUCAGCCGGAGACCGCUGUGGGAACCGCGCCGAACACGCUUUGGGCGGCCAUUUUGUAACUCGAAUCUACCCUCAAAAUCAAUUCGAAAAAAAGGGAGGCAAGAAACGCCCCUACAGUGUUCUGAACUGGGUUGAACACACAAAGGAUGCUAAAAUUUUCCACUUGUAUACAGGUCCCUCCAAGACUUCGCUUCUCACCAUGAUUCUGACAUUGAUAUGAAAACACUCAAGAUUUCACUUCUCACCAUGAUUCUGACACUGAUAUGAUCACUGA